GACGAACGCUGGCGGCGUGCUUAACACAUGCAAGUCGAACGGUGAAGCGAGUGCUUGCACUCGUGGAUCAGUGGCGAACGGGUGAGUAACACGUGAGUAACCUUCCCAUCACUCUGGGAUAAGCACUGGAAACGGUUUCUAAUACUGGAUACGACCAACCCUUGCAUGGGGUGUUGGUGGAAAGAUUUAUCGGUGAUGGAUGGACUCGCGGCCUAUCAGCUUGUUGGCGGGGUAAUGGACCACCAAGGCGACGACGGGUAGCCGGCCUGAGAGGGUGACCGGCCACACUGGGACUGAGAAACGGCCCAGACUCCUACGGGAGGCAGCAGUGGGGAAUAUUGCACAAUGGGCGAAAGCCUGAUGCAGCGACGCCGCGUGAGGGAUGACGGCCUUCGGGUUGUAAACCUCUUUCAGCAGGGAAGAAGCGAAAGUGACGGUACCUGCAGAAGAAGCACCGGCUAACUACGUG
RNAcentral lists this ribosomal RNA (469 nucleotides) under uncultured bacterium. Its description in RNAcentral is "partial 16S ribosomal RNA". It matches the Rfam family "Bacterial small subunit ribosomal RNA", at positions 28 to 507 of the family's 1533-position model. The record is from RNAcentral.